GAGACUCUGUGCGCGUGCAUAUCAAUAAGCGGAGGAAAAGAAACUAACAAGGAUUCCCCUAGUAACGGCGAGUGAAGCGGGAAGAGCUCAAAUUUGAAAUCUUAAAGGGUUUCCCUUUACGAAUUGUAGUUUAAAGAAGUGUUUUCUGUUGGAGUUUCGGUAAAAGUUCUUUGGAAUAGGACAUCAUAGAGGGUGAGAAUCCCGUAUUUGACCGUUACUUUCCAGCUGUGGGAUACACUUUCAAAGAGUCGGAUUGUUUGGGAAUGCAGUCCAAAAUGGGUGAUAAAUUUCAUCUAAAGCUAAAUAUUGGCGAGAGACCGAUAGCGAACAAGUACCGUGAGGGAAAGAUGAAAAGAACUUUGAAAAGAGAGUUAAACAGUACGUGAAAUUGUCAAAAGGGAAGCGUUUGACACCAGUGUUGUUUUUCCGAAAAUCAAUUAAGAAUGUUUUAUUUUUGAGGAGUUAUGACUUCAUCGGCUUGCUCCUUUCUUUAUGAAACUUUCUUAAUGCACUUUUCGGUUAACAAGUCAACAUCAAUUUCUUUUGUUGUAAAAGGGUAUGAGGAAGGUGGCUUGCGUUUCGGAUAAAGUGUUUAUAGCCUUUUAUCCUCUGCAAUCGGAGAGAUUGAGGUCUGCAGCGUAGAUCCUUCGGGGUUAGAUACAUUUGUGCUAAGUUAUAGCUUUUCAUAGACAACUUGUUGACUAUGUUUAGUCUUGUAGCUUACUCGCUGACGCUAUUUUACCUACGCUUAGGAUGUUGAUCUGUAGUGCGUGCGC
This 776-nucleotide ribosomal RNA is filed under the name uncultured Neocallimastigales. Its description in RNAcentral is "partial large subunit ribosomal RNA". It matches the Rfam family "Eukaryotic large subunit ribosomal RNA", at positions 23 to 647 of the family's 3401-position model. Lineage: Eukaryota; Fungi; Neocallimastigomycota; Neocallimastigomycetes; Neocallimastigales. The record is from RNAcentral.